UGGGGAAUAUUGCACAAUGGGCGCAAGCCUGAUGCAGCCAUGCCGCGUGUAUGAAGAAGGCCUUCGGGUUGUAAAGUACUUUCAGCGGGGAGGAAGGGAGUAAAGUUAAUACCUUUGCUCAUUGACGUUACCCGCAGAAGAAGCUCCGGCUAAAUACGUGCCAGCAGCCGCGGUAAUACGUAUGGAGCGAGCGUUGUCCGGAAUUAUUGGGCGUAAAGGGUGCGCAGGCGGCUUUACAAGUUGGAUGUGAAAUAUUGUGGCUCAACCACAAACGUGCAUCCAAAAGUGCAAAGGUUGAGUUAAGGAGAGGUAAGUGGAAUUCCUGGUGUAGCGGUGGAAUGCGUAGAUAUCAGGAGGAAUACCGGUGGCGAAGGCGACUUACUGGACUUAAACUGACGCUCAGGCACGAAAGCGUGGGGAGCAAACAGG
RNAcentral lists this ribosomal RNA (429 nucleotides) under Fusobacteriota bacterium. RNAcentral's name for it is "Fusobacteria bacterium partial 16S ribosomal RNA". It matches the Rfam family "Bacterial small subunit ribosomal RNA", at positions 355 to 776 of the family's 1533-position model. The record is from RNAcentral. Lineage: Bacteria; Fusobacteriati; Fusobacteriota.